This 2770-nucleotide ribosomal RNA is filed under the name Burkholderia cenocepacia. RNAcentral's name for it is "partial 23S ribosomal RNA". It matches the Rfam family "Bacterial large subunit ribosomal RNA". The record is from RNAcentral. Lineage: Bacteria; Pseudomonadati; Pseudomonadota; Betaproteobacteria; Burkholderiales; Burkholderiaceae.
GGUCAAGCGAACAAGUGCAUGUGGUGGAUGCCUUGGCGAUCACAGGCGAUGAAGGACGCGGUAGCCUGCGAAAAGCUACGGGGAGCUGGCAAACGAGCUUUGAUCCGUAGAUGUCCGAAUGGGGAAACCCGGCCCUUUUGGGUCAUCCUGGACUGAAUACAUAGGUCCAGUGAAGCGAACGCGGUGAACUGAAACAUCUAAGUAACCGCAGGAAAAGAAAUCAACCGAGAUUCCCAAAGUAGUGGCGAGCGAAAUGGGAUGAGCCUUGCACUCUUUAUUUGUAUUGUUAGCCGAACGCUCUGGAAAGUGCGGCCAUAGCAGGUGAUAGCCCUGUAGGCGAAAACAGUAUGAAAGAACUAGGUGUGCGACAAGUAGGGCGGGACACGUGAAAUCCUGUCUGAAGAUGGGGGGACCAUCCUCCAAGGCUAAAUACUCGUGAUCGACCGAUAGUGAACCAGUACCGUGAGGGAAAGGCGAAAAGAACCCCGGGAGGGGAGUGAAAUAGAUCCUGAAACCGCAUGCAUACAAACAGUCGGAGCCUCGUAAGGGGUGACGGCGUACCUUUUGUAUAAUGGGUCAGCGACUUACGUUCAGUAGCAAGCUUAACCGUAUAGGGCAGGCGUAGCGAAAGCGAGUCCGAAUAGGGCGUUCAGUUGCUGGGCGUAGACCCGAAACCAGGUGAUCUAUCCAUGGCCAGGAUGAAGGUGCGGUAACACGUACUGGAGGUCCGAACCCACUAACGUUGAAAAGUUAGGGGAUGAGCUGUGGAUAGGGGUGAAAGGCUAAACAAACCUGGAAAUAGCUGGUUCUCUCCGAAAACUAUUUAGGUAGUGCCUCGUGUCUCACCUUCGGGGGUAGAGCACUGUCAUGGUUGGGGGGUCUAUUGCAGAUUACCCCGCCAUAGCAAACUCCGAAUACCGAAGAGUGCAAUCACGGGAGACAGACAUCGGGUGCUAACGUCCGGUGUCAAGAGGGAAACAACCCAGACCGCCAGCUAAGGUCCCCAAAUAUAGCUAAGUGGGAAACGAAGUGGGAAGGCUAAAACAGUCAGGAGGUUGGCUUAGAAGCAGCCACCCUUUAAAGAAAGCGUAAUAGCUCACUGAUCGAGUCGUCCUGCGCGGAAGAUGUAACGGGGCUAAGCUAUAUACCGAAGCUGCGGAUGCGUGCUUAGCACGCAUGGUAGGAGAGCGUUCCGUAAGCCUGCGAAGGUGCCUUGUAAAGGGUGCUGGAGGUAUCGGAAGUGCGAAUGCUGACAUGAGUAGCGAUAAAGGGGGUGAAAGGCCCCCUCGCCGUAAGCCCAAGGUUUCCUACGCAACGUUCAUCGGCGUAGGGUGAGUCGGCCCCUAAGGCGAGGCAGAAAUGCGUAGCUGAUGGGAAGCAGGUCAAUAUUCCUGCACCAUUGUUAGAUGCGAUGGGGGGACGGAUCGCGGAAGGUUGUCCGGGUGUUGGAAGUCCCGGUCGCUGCAUUGGAGAAGGCGCUUAGGCAAAUCCGGGCGCGUAAUUCAAGGGUGUGGCGCGAGCUCCUUAGGGAGCGAAGCAAUUGGAAGUGGUUCCAAGAAAAGCCUCUAAGCUUCAGUCUAACGAUGACCGUACCGCAAACCGACACAGGUGGGCGAGAUGAGUAUUCUAAGGCGCUUGAGAGAACUCGGGAGAAGGAACUCGGCAAAUUGGUACCGUAACUUCGGGAUAAGGUACGCCCUUGUAGCUUGACUGGCCUGCGCCAGGAGGGUGAAGGGGUUGCAAUAAACUGGUGGCUGCGACUGUUUAAUAAAAACACAGCACUCUGCAAACACGAAAGUGGACGUAUAGGGUGUGACGCCUGCCCGGUGCCGGAAGAUUAAAUGAUGGGGUGCAAGCUCUUGAUUGAAGUCCCGGUAAACGGCGGCCGUAACUAUAACGGUCCUAAGGUAGCGAAAUUCCUUGUCGGGUAAGUUCCGACCUGCACGAAUGGCGUAACGAUGGCCACACUGUCUCCUCCCGAGACUCAGCGAAGUUGAAGUGUUUGUGAUGAUGCAAUCUACCCGCGGCUAGACGGAAAGACCCCAUGAACCUUUACUGUAGCUUUGCAUUGGACUUUGAACCGAUCUGUGUAGGAUAGGUGGGAGGCUAUGAAACCGGAACGCUAGUUUCGGUGGAGCCGUCCUUGAAAUACCACCCUGGUUUGUUUGAGGUUCUAACCUUGGCCCGUGAUCCGGGUCGGGGACAGUGCAUGGUAGGCAGUUUGACUGGGGCGGUCUCCUCCCAAAGCGUAACGGAGGAGUACGAAGGUACGCUAGGUACGGUCGGAAAUCGUGCUGAUAGUGCAAUGGCAUAAGCGUGCUUAACUGCGAGACCGACAAGUCGAGCAGGUGCGAAAGCAGGUCAUAGUGAUCCGGUGGUUCUGUAUGGAAGGGCCAUCGCUCAACGGAUAAAAGGUACUCUGGGGAUAACAGGCUGAUACCGCCCAAGAGUUCAUAUCGACGGCGGUGUUUGGCACCUCGAUGUCGGCUCAUCUCAUCCUGGGGCUGUAGCCGGUCCCAAGGGUAUGGCUGUUCGCCAUUUAAAGAGGUACGUGAGCUGGGUUUAAAACGUCGUGAGACAGUUUGGUCCCUAUCUGCCGUGGGCGUUGGAUAUUUGAAGGGGGCUGCUCCUAGUACGAGAGGACCGGAGUGGACGAACCUCUGGUGUACCGGUUGUCACGCCAGUGGCAUCGCCGGGUAGCUAUGUUCGGAAGAGAUAACCGCUGAAAGCAUCUAAGCGGGAAACUCGCCUUAAGAUGAGAUAUCCCUGG